CUGGCUACGGAUUUUGAUUGACAUUUGGAGUGUCUGGACUUUCUAUCAUGAUCUGUUGGGUAUUAAUCAACUCUUGAAUGGCUCUUUUCAGAUACCAACAUUUCUCUGUGUUAUGCCUUGGGGCAUCAGAACAGUAUUCACAUCUUCUAGAAUAGUUCAAGUUCUUCGGAGGAGGAUUUGGGAUCCUUCUCUCAAUUGGGUUUAGAACAUUCAUUUUCCUCAGCC
Molecule: long non-coding RNA, 225 nt
Filed under: Capsicum annuum
Lineage: Eukaryota; Viridiplantae; Streptophyta; Magnoliopsida; Solanales; Solanaceae
Description: long non-coding RNA (CANN_LNC009839)
Source: RNAcentral